Molecule: ribosomal RNA, 497 nt
Filed under: uncultured bacterium
Lineage: Bacteria
Description: partial 16S ribosomal RNA
Rfam family: Bacterial small subunit ribosomal RNA
Source: RNAcentral
GAUGAACGCUGGCGGCGUGCCUAAUACAUGCAAGUCGAGCGAACAGACGAGGAGCUUGCUCCUCUGACGUUAGCGGCGGACGGGUGAGUAACACGUGGAUAACCUACCUAUAAGACUGGGAUAACUUCGGGAAACCGGAGCUAAUACCGGAUAAUAUAUUGAACCGCAUGGUUCAAUAGUAAAAGACGGUUUUGCUGUCACUUAUAGAUGGAUCCGCGCCGCAUUAGCUAGUUGGUAAGGUAACGGCUUACCAAGGCAACGAUGCGUAGCCGACCUGAGAGGGUGAUCGGCCACACUGGAACUGAGACACGGUCCAGACUCCUACGGGAGGCAGCAGUAGGGAAUCUUCCGCAAUGGGCGAAAGCUUGACGGAGCAACGCCGCGUGAGUGAUGAAGGUCUUCGGAUCGUAAAACUCUGUUAUUAGGGAAGAACAAAUGUGUAAGUAACUAUGCACGUCUUGACGGUACCUAAUCAGAAAGCCACGGCUAACUACGUG